CCUACGGGCGGCAGCAGUGAGGAAUAUUGGUCAAUGGGCGCGAGCCUGAACCAGCCAAGUCGCGUGAGGGAAGACGGUCCUAUGGAUUGUAAACCUCUUUAGGCGGGGAGCAAUGCCGGGCACGUGUGUCCGGAGGGAGAGUACCCGCAGAAUAAGCAUCGGCUAACUCCGUGCCAGCAGCCGCGGUAAUACGGAGGAUGCGAGCGUUAUCCGGAUUGAUUGGGUUUAAAGGGUGCGUAGGCGGAUUUUUAAGUCAGCGGUAAAAUGUCCGGGCUCAACCCGGGCCGGCCGUUGAAACUGGGGAUCUUGAGUGGGCGAGAAGUAUGCGGAAUGCGUGGUGUAGCGGUGAAAUGCAUAGAUAUCACGCAGAACUCCGAUUGCGAAGGCAGCAUACCGGCGUCCGACUGACGCUGAGGCACGAAAGCGUGGGGAUCGAACAGGAUUAGAUACCCCUGUAGUC
RNAcentral lists this ribosomal RNA (460 nucleotides) under uncultured bacterium. RNAcentral describes it as "partial 16S ribosomal RNA". It matches the Rfam family "Bacterial small subunit ribosomal RNA", at positions 338 to 795 of the family's 1533-position model. The record is from RNAcentral.